AGAGUUUGAUCCUGGCUCAGGACGAACGCUGACGGUGUGCUUUAGGCAUGCAAGUCGAACGAGAAAGCCCUUCGGGGUGAGUAAAGUGGCGAACGGGUGAGUAACACGUGGGCAACCUGCCCCUCGCAGGGGGACAACCGGAGGAAACUCCGGCUAAUACCCCGUACGCUUGUUGGGUCGCAUGGCUCGGCAAGGAAAGGUAGCUUCGGCCAUCCGGCGAGGGAUGGGCCCGCGUUGCAUUAGCUAGUUGGUGGGGUAACGGCCCACCAAGGCGACGAUGCGUAGCUGGUCUGAGAGGAUGAUCAGCCACACUGGGACUGAGACACGGCCCAGACUCCUACGGGAGGCAGCAGCCAGGAAUCUUGGGCAAUGGGCGAAAGCCUGACCCAGCAACACCGUGUGGGCGACGAAGGCCUUAGGGUCGUAAAGCCCUGUUGAUAGGGACGAAGGGCGAAGGGUUAAUAGCCCCUAGCUUGACGGUACCUUUCGAGGAAGCCCCGGCUAACUACGUGCAGCAGCCGCGGUAAUACGUAGGGGGCGAGCGUUGUCCGGAAUUAUUGGGCGUAAAGAGCGUGUAGGCGGUUCGGUAAGUCUGCUGUGAAAUCCUGGGGCUCAACCCCGGGCGUGCAGCGGAUACUGCCGGGCUAGAGGAUGGUAGAGGCGAGUGGAAUUCCGAGUGUAGCGGUGAAAUGCGCAGAUAUUCGGAGGAACACCAGUAGCGAAGGCGGCUCGCUGGGCCAUUCCUGACGCUGAGNNGCGAAAGCGUGGGGAGCGAACAGGAUUAGAUACCCUAGUAGUCC
RNAcentral lists this ribosomal RNA (800 nucleotides) under uncultured bacterium. RNAcentral describes it as "bacterial SSU rRNA". It matches the Rfam family "Bacterial small subunit ribosomal RNA", at positions 8 to 796 of the family's 1533-position model. The record is from RNAcentral.